Molecule: ribosomal RNA, 274 nt
Filed under: uncultured bacterium
Lineage: Bacteria
Description: partial 16S ribosomal RNA
Rfam family: Bacterial small subunit ribosomal RNA
Source: RNAcentral
AUACGGGGGGUGCAAGCGUUAUUCGGAAUUACUGGGCGUAAAGAGCGCGUAGGCGGUUUUUUAAGUCAGGUGUGAAAGCCCGGGGCUUAACCCCGGAAGUGCACUUGAAACUAAAAAACUUGAGUAUGGGAGAGGGAAGUGGAAUUCCUGGUGUAGCGGUGAAAUGCGUAGAUAUCAGGAGGAACACCGGUGGCGAAGGCGACUUCCUGGACCAAUACUGACGCUGAGGCGCGAAGGCGUGGGGAGCAAACAGGAUUAGAAACCCGGGUAGUCC